Molecule: long non-coding RNA, 1789 nt
Organism: Petromyzon marinus (sea lamprey)
Lineage: Eukaryota; Metazoa; Chordata; Hyperoartia; Petromyzontiformes; Petromyzontidae
Source: RefSeq, a predicted model, not a curated record
GACUGCUGAAUUAUCAUUUUAUUUCACUUUCAUCAGUCAUGAUUAAUCCACUGCUGGAUGAAGGUCCCCACCCAUCUCUCAUCUCGACUCUACGAUAUUAUAACAAUCACAAUCCACCGAUAGAUGCGUGCGAACUCAGUCCAUCGCUCCGUCUCCACUCUCACACAAGACAGGGGGGAUAUCUGAACGAUACAGUAAGAUACCUAAAAUAUAUUUUUUUCUUAGAGAAAGACUGUAAAGGCGGUGUUGUGUGAUUUGGCGGAGGGGUGCACGGUGUGGAUCGUACUGUACUUUUUCGCACUUUGUUUUGCUCUUCGUGAUCCUUGCAAAAGUUCCACCUCCUCCCCGUUGCAUGACUGGACUUGCGCUGGAGCCUGAGCCGAAGUUAUUAAAAAAAAUUUGCGCCGUUGCAGAGGGGAGCCCGGGACUCGGGGACAAAGCUUCAGUGGAAGGAAAUGGCCGCAGUUUCUUGGCAAAAAAAAAACCUCAAGUCUGGGAGACUUUGGCUGAGAGAGUUAGUGUUGUGUGUGUGAGAGAGAGUGUGUGUGUGAGUGUGUGUGUGUCUCUGUUUGUCUGUCUGUUGGAAUGGUAUGCCCAAAUGUCUGCUCGUGUGUGUGUGUGUGCGCGCUCGUCGCAACUCAAAAGCCUCUUAGCUUGUUACCCUCCAACUGAGACCAAGAAAUUGGAGAUAUUUGCUACCGUGCCGGCUAGGUUCCGUGAAAAAGUUCGACAAAGUGGAACUACUGAAGCGUACAGACGGAGUGAGUUAUGCCCCGAUAUAUGCGCUCAGUGGCAUUCGCGUCUAAAGAUCAACUUUAAUCUCACGUGGUCGGAGGAGGAGCAAGGUGGUGAUGGUGAUGAUGGAGUUGUGGAGAUGCUGCAAGAUCGACAUCGAGAAGAAUCAAUCAGAGUACUGUAUUGCUUAAUGAAUUGAACUCGGGUCAUUUGGACUGUGGCACAAUCUGCUAACCAUUUCAUCGCUGCUGCUGCCGCCACCCCAUCUGUACAUUACAGACGGACUGACGCACGCGCAUUGUGAAGUAUUUGCUGUUGUAACUUGCUGACGCGCCCCUACUGGUCAUCUGUGCACAAGAGCUUCAUAGCUCAUCGGAUUCAUCCUACAGUUUAAAAUAACGAUUUAGAUUAUUCUGAUCGUCUUGCCCAGCGACGCGUCCUGCCCCAGCCAGCGUGUACGGCAAUCGCGCCUCUAUACUGUACGCGUCUUGUUCCGGUGUGACUAUUCAUUGUAUGCCAUUCAUUGCAUGCAAACUUAGUGUAUGUAUAUUCAUUGUAUUCCUACGCAUUGUAUGCAUAUUCAUUGUAUGCCUAUUCAUAGAAUUACUAUUCAUUGUAAGCGUAAUCAUUGCAUGCUUAGUGAUUGUACGAAAUGUAACUGUAUGGAAAUAAAUUGUAUGACUUAAUUGUAUGCCUAUUAAUUGUAUGCAAAUGUAUUGUAUGUAUAUAUAUUGAAUGCCUAAUCAUUGCAUAAAUAUUCAUUGUGAGCUCAUUCAUUGUAUGCCUAUUCAUUGCGUGACUAUGCAUUGCAUGACUAUUCAAGCAGCAGAGUCUUCUUCGUCGAAGCCAGAAGUUCCGUUAUUUAUUCAUGGCGGGGUUAUUCUCUUCUCGAGUCGCAUGCAGACCCGAGGGCAUCCACCGCCUUCUCAACUCGCUUUCCUCCCGCUACUCAUUCUGCCCCACUACACCCGGGGCAUCUCGAUAGCCCUUCUAGUCGCGUCUUUGUCUCUUCUCAACACGUGUCCAAAUAUGUAUAAUGUUUUUUUAUGAGAUU